GACGAACGCUGGCGGCGUGCUUAACACAUGCAAGUCGAGCGGUAAGGCCCUUUCGGGGGUACACGAGCGGCGAACGGGUGAGUAACACGUGGGUGACCUGCCCUCAGCUCUGGGAUAAGCCUGGGAAACCGGGUCUAAUACUGGAUAUGACUCCAUGACGCAUGUUGUGGGGUGGAAAGCCUUGUGCGGCUGAGGAUGGGCCCGCGGCCUAUCAGCUUGUUGGUGGGGUGANGGGCCUACCAAGGCGACGACGGGUAGCCGGCCUGAGAGGGCGACCGGCCACACUGGGACUGAGACACGGCCCAGACUCCUACGGGAGGCAGCAGUGGGGAAUAUUGGACAAUGGGCGAAAGCCUGAUCCAGCGGUGCCGCGUGUGUGAAGAAGGCCUGCGGGUUGUAAAGCACUUUCAGUAGGGAAGAAAAGACCGAGUGCCAAUACCACUCGGUCUUGACGUUACCUAAAGAAGAAGCACCGGCUAACCUCCGUGCCAG
RNAcentral lists this ribosomal RNA (492 nucleotides) under uncultured bacterium. RNAcentral describes it as "bacterial SSU rRNA". It matches the Rfam family "Bacterial small subunit ribosomal RNA", at positions 28 to 511 of the family's 1533-position model. The record is from RNAcentral.